CUUUUGUUUUUCAUUUGUUAGUUUUGUAGUUAACCUAUACUCUCUCCGGUCAAUAUUAUAGGGAAAAAAAAAAUCACUUUUUAGGUUUAUCGGAAAAUAAAAGUUUUUAGUCUAUAUUAUAGUUUAGAUACAUUAGUUUUGCAAUGAACCUAAAAAAUUAUUUUUUGCUUAUAAUAGUGACAUCCGGUCACUAUUAUAAUAAAAACUAUUCACGAGUUGACUCGGGUCAUUGUAAGCCCUAUGUUAAACAAAUUCAAAAUUAGAAAUUGAAUUUGUAUUAUAAAAAAGUAAUAAUUUAUAAAAAUUUUAAGAAAUUGAAUGUAUGAUUAUUGCUAAUGAAUUGACCCUUAUGUUUUUCCUCUAUUGUUUUUUUUUUUUCAAUAAUAAAGAGUGAUGAAACCGAUACUUGAGUCUCUUAACCAUUUGGUCAUGGAUUCGAUCCCUGACGGUGCGUAUGGAGAAAUAUUUGUUGGGAGAGGUCAACCCCUUAAAUGGAUUUCAGUUACCGUAAGGGGAUUAAUCUCUGCAAUUACGUGCGGAGGAUACCUUUGGUUUAAAAAAGAAAAAAGAGUGAUGAAACCGAAAGAAAACGGUUUACAUAGGAAUGAAAUGAGGGGUCGUUAUCCCCAAACAUUACUGAGAAUCAAAUGACUAUAUUCAAUUGGACAAGACUCAAAACAGAGUAUAUCAGAAUCAAACGUGCAACCAAUGUUGGCGAGAGCAUAUUGAUUAGCUUCAUGAUAAGAAUGUUAAACCAUCACUUCCCACUCCAACUCUUGCAUCCGACAAAUUCUCCCGAUUAAGGAACUUUCUAGAGAACUCCCCUCCACUCUUGUCCUAAGCACUUGAGCCAUCACCAUAGAAUCCACAUUGAAUUCAAUCUUUGUAAAUCCCAAUCUUCUAGCAUUUGUCAAAACUUCUAAACACCCUUCACAACUCUGCAACAUAUCUGCUACACACUCCUAAGAAUUGUGUUUUGGUAGUCUUCCUCCCAAUUUUCCUCCAAAUGUACACGCAUUAUAUAUUGAUGUGACACUCAACUCUUAACUUCUUCUUUUUCUAAUACACAUGUCUAUAUAAAAAAUUAAAACUUCAAAAAAUGCCAAAAUGUUUGAUAGUUGACACCCUAAUUAAAAGUUGAGGCUUGCUAUAUAGUGAUAGAGAUUGAUUAAGGCCCAAAAGCACAAACCAUAUAUUUUGAUCCAAGCCCAUGAUCCCUUCCAUUACAUUUUCAAGUAAUAUAUUUGUCAUGUUGAUCUUAACACUUGUCUUGUUGCAUAUUUGCAUGUAGUGCACUUGUCAUGUUGAUUGUAACACUUGUCUCCAUGUAGUAGGCCAUGAUAGUUACUCUUCUCCUAUAAAUAGGAGCUUCACAAUGUACUUUAAAUAUUCAAGCAUUAUUAAUCAAAUUGUGUUUCUCUUUUUGAGAUAUUGAGAAUGAAUUCUCUCUUGGCUCCUAAGCCAUUUUAGUAUCAGAGUAAAGUUUCAAAUCCGGAGCUGAGUUUUAGUGAGAAAAUCAACAGAAAGUUUGAGUUGUCUUGAGGUUCUCUUAGUGCAAAAGAGCAGCCUCCUUUAAAACUUUACUUUGCGGCCAUUUUUUCGCAAAACCAACACUGCCAUCGUGUUCAGGAGGUUUGAAAACCUCCGAAUACGAAAUUUCACGGCCAACGACUAGUUCACGCGCCCACACGCGCCACCACCGAAAGUCACGCACCUGCGAUGGAAGAAAACGUGACACGCCCUUCCACAUCAGCCACAUGUAUCUUUCUGCCACAUUAGCCGUUGCCUAGUAAGCUCACCACAUCAUUUUUCCAGCCCGAUCACAUCUUACCACGUGUCACCCUGCCAUCUCAACAAUGCCAUGUCAGCAAAAACUGCAAAAAUACAGUUUCGCCCAAAACUUCCUUUAUUUACAAUUUCAUCCCAUACUUUCAAAAUUUGUGUUUUGACCCCUGAACUUUCAGAAAAUUCAAAUUGGCCCCAAAACCUUUUAGAAUUCCAAAUUUGCCCUUGAUUUUUCUGGAAUUCACAAUUCUGCCUCAAUAAUUUCUGAAAUUACGAUUUUACCCUGACCUUAAAAAAAAACCUCAAAAUGCCUCCAAGAAGACAAAACGAGAAAACUCUAUGAGACAUUCAAAUGGAAGAAAUGAGAAGACAAAUCCAACAAUUACAAGAGAUUGUGGAUGGUUAACAAGUUCUAUUGGGUGAGUACCAACUAGAAGUCGACACAUCCAGUAGCGACUCUUCCUCAACUAGAUGUCGACGACCACCUCGAAGAUCAUCCAGAAGUGACGACAUAAGGGUAGAAAUUCUUGAUUUUGAAUGAAAACUUCAACCCGAUGAGUUUGUGGAUUGACUUCAAACUGUUGAGCGAGUGUUCGAGUACAAAGAAGUACUUGAAGAGAAGAAAGUAAAGAUCAUUGCAGUCAAAUUAAAGAAGCAUGUCUCCAUAUGGUGGGAUAAUCUUAAAAAGAAGCAUGAACGUGAAGGAAAAAGAAAGAUCUAAGACUUAAAAAAACUGCGGCGAGAACUAACAAGUUCUAGAAAAGUUGAGGACUAGCAAGUACUAAAAAAUGCACCAACAAAUUCAUGAAUAUCACAUUUCAUCAACUAACAAGUUUUUACCUGCCCAUUACUACCAAGAUAACUUCAUUCAACUACAAAAUCUUCGCCAAAAGAAUUUGUCGGUGGAAGAAUAUACUAGAGAGUUUGAAAAGUUGAUGAUGAAGUGUGAUAUUCAUGAAAAUGAGUAACAAACACUGACAUUGCUCAUCAUGUCCAACUCCAACAAUAUUGGUCAGUUGAUGAUGUUAUCGGCCCUGCAAUACGAGUUGAGGAACAGUUACCAAAAGGGUCGUCCUACAAGAAUUUUUCCUUUAUUGAAACAAGCCACCAAUUGAACAACCUAGUUCCUCAAAUAAGCCUUUACCUAAUCCCUCCGUUCAAAAUGAAACCAAGGUUGUCCAAUGUUUCAAAUGUCAAGGCUUUGGACAUAUAGCCUCUGAUUGUCCUAACCGAAGAACAAUCACCAUUAUCAAAGGAGAAACUUAUGAAGAGUCCGAAGAAGCUCGAGACGAACUUGAAAAUGAAGAGUUGGAACCAGUUUAUGAUGAAGAAUUCGUUGUUGCCGAUCAUGGUGAGUCAUUGAUGAUUAGAUAGAGCUAUCAUAAAACUAUCAUAUCCUACUUCAAUCCAUUGUUUGGUGCGCCAAUAGGAAAGGAUAAAGUAAACCUAUUUCAAAUCCUAUCAUAUUGCUCCUUUGUUAUUUUAAUCCUUAAUUUUUGGUGGGUUACCAACCUGAUAGCAUAAAACUAUCAGGCGUGUAUUUCUCUUCUCACGGAACCCUUCUUCGAUUCCCAACAAAUCCUUUGUUUCAAUAAUUUUCCUAAUUUUUUUCUUUCAAUAAUUUCCCUAAAUUUUAUACUCUGUUCCUAUUUCAAUCGCCGCUAGUUAUAUAUUGGGUUUAUUUCAUUCUCCUUCUUUCAAUAAUUUUCCUAAUUCUUAAAUCUCUGUUUUAUUUCAAUCGUUACAAAAAAUUGCUACUACCAUAAUCAUUUUCUUUACGCAUCUAUUUGUUCCUUCUACAAUUGCUAUGGUGUUGUUUGUAUUCCUAAUCGCUACGGUACAGCUCGUUCGUCUUUUUGUUUCUUUGAUAUUUAAAAUAAUAAGUGUGUACCAAACACAUGAUAAGAUAAAAUAAUACUAUCCCCUUUCUUAUCAUAUAUACACCAAACAUAUGACAGGAUAAGUGUCUAUCCUGCCACUAUCCUAUCAUAUCACUAUCCAGCUCCUUAUCAUAUCUUGUCUCUAUUUUAUCCUGCGCACCAAACGAGCCCUAAUGCUCCUCUAGAAGCAUCCUCUUUGAAGGAAAAGAAAAAGCCUCCCAUCUUGAAAAGGUUUCACCACCCAAUUUCUUCACGUGGCAACAGGGAGAUUUUCCACCUCCAUGAUUUCUUUAUGUUGCAAGAAUCAUUACUUGAUUCCCAUCAAUUGCUAUUUUUCCCAGUCCCUAAUUUGUUUCAGAUUCAUCUCGUUAGAUUCUUCCUUUCUAUUAAGUUCGGUUGCAAAUUUGAAGAGUGAAAAUGGCAGAAGUUCGCUAAGUAUGUAUGAUGUUUCUUAUGGGUUCAUGUGUAAUUUUUGGAAGACUGAAAUUUGAGUGUGUUGGUCACGAGGGAGCAGCCGGCAUCAUCCACAUUGGGUUUAAAGUGAGUUGGACACCACACUCUUACCCAAAACCUUAAAGUGUUAGGUUUAUGGGUCAUUUCAUUUAUAAAGUGUUAAACCUCCACUUUUCUAAGUAAUGUGAGACUUAACCACUCACACUUGUCACAACAGAGUGAAAUAAAGACAAGGAUUAAAGAGGUUUGGAGAAAUUGAAGAAGCUCAAAUUUUUCACUAUUUUCAUCAAAUGUUUUGUUUGGUGAUCAAAUUAACCAGGGAGUUGUACGAGUAUGAGUUUAUUGGGACGAUUGUUGAAGAGGUCUUACGAAAGAUAAAACUUGUUGCCUUACCUGUUGGUGAUUUCUUAGUUGGACUAGAGCCCCAAAAGGAACAUGUGACUUCGCUUUUGAAUAUUGGGUCUGAUGAUGAAGUCAACAUGCUAGGGAUCCAUGGAAUUGGUGGAAUAGGAAAAACGACUCUUGCUUUAGCAGUUUAUAAUUUGAUUAGCCAUCAAUUUCAAGUUUCUUGUUUUCUUGAAAAAGUCAGAGAAAAUUCAGACAAAAAUGGAUUGAUUUAUCUCCAAAAGAUCCUUCUGUCUCAAAUUGUUGGAGAUAAGAAUAUUGAGAUAACAAGUGUUAGACAAGGAAUUUCAGUAUUUCAACAGAGGCUCAACCAAAAGAAAGUUCUUUUACUUCUAGAUGAUGUCGACAAUGAGGAGCAAUUACAGGCUAUUGUUGGAAAAUCUGAUUGGUUUGGUCUUGGAAGUAGAGUCAUCAUCACAACUCGGGACAAACGAUUACUAACAUGUCAUGGGGUUGAACGUACAUAUGAGGUGAAGGGUUUGAAUAACAAAGAUGCGUUUGAGUUGCUUAGAUGGAAAGCUUUUAAAAGUGAAAAGACUAACAAAGAUUUGUCAGGUUAUGUUCAAGUUUUAGAACGUGCUGUAGCAUAUGCUUCAGGUCUUCCACUUGCUUUGGAAGUCAUAGGUUCUCACUUUUUUAAAAGGACAAUAGAGGAAUGUAAAUGUUCACUAGAUCAAUGUGAAAGAGUUCUUGAUAAAAAGAUCCAAGUGACACUGCAGUUGAGCUUUGAUGCUUUGGAGAAAGAAGAGAAGUCUGUUUUUCUUGACAUUGCCUGUUGCUUGAAAGGAUAUAAAUUGACAACCGUCGAACGAAUACUUCAUUCUCAUCAUGGUUAUAGCAUUAAAAAUCAUAUUAAUGUGUUAGUGGAAAAAUCUCUCAUAAAAAUAAGUGAGUCUGGUAAUGUGACAUUACAUGAUUUGAUAGAGGAUAUGGGAAAAGAUAUUGUUAGACAAGAAUCUCCGGAUCCUGGGGAACGCAGUAGGUUAUGGGCCUCUAAAGAUAUAAAUGAGGUUUUAAAAGAAAAUAAGGGAACAAGUAAAAUUGAAAUCAUAUAUUUGGACGGUUGGAUUAAAAUAGAAAGGGAUGGAGAAGCUUUCAAAAAGAUGGAAAAUCUCAAAACACUGAUUAUUAACGGGGGUUUUGAUGGAAAUUUCAAACAUCUUCCAAAUAGUCUAAGAGUAGUGGAUUGGCAUUGUCGUUCACCAUUUCAAUCUUACCCCCGUACAUCUAAUCAAUUUGAGAACGUGGACUUUCUCAAAAAUAGUCGAAGCCCACGGGAUUGGUAUCGCACUGGAACAUUUAAUCCAUUUGCGAAGGUGGACUUUCUCAAUAAGAAGUUCCAGAAUAUGAGAAUUUUAAAUUUAGAUUACGAUAGAUUACAAAUACCUGACCUAUCUAAUCUCCCAAAUUUAGAAGAACUGUCAAUUCAAAAUUGUUGGAACAUCUUUACAAUUGAUAUAUCAGUUGGUUUUUUGAGUAAUCUUAAAAUCUUGAGAAUUAUAAAUUGCAAAUAUGUCAAAAGUGUUCCACCACUCGAUUGCCCUUCCCUGGUAGAACUGGAUCUUUCAUAUUGUUUUAGUCUAGAAAGUUUUCCUCUCACGGUGAAUGGAUUUGUUGGAAAUCUUAAAAUCUUGAGGCUUGAAAAGUGCAGCAAUAUCAGAAUUAUUCCACUUCACAUGUUACAUUCUCUAGAAGAACUCAACCUUAAUGAUUGUACUAGCCUCGAGAGUUUUUCACAUGUGGUAGGGUUGGGGGAAAAACUUAAAACAAUGAGUUUUAGAAGUUGCAUCAACCUAAUCAGUAUUCCACCUCUCAAGUUGACUUCUCUUGAAAAACUUGAUCUUUCGGAUUGUACCAGUCUUCAUAAUUUUCCACUUGUGGUUGACGGGUUUCUUGGAAAACUUAAAACCAUGCGUCUUGAAAAUUGUCACAAUAUCAAGAGUAUUCCACCUCUGAAGUUGGAUUCACUAGAAACACUUGACCUUGCAUAUUGUUACAGGCUCGAGAGUUUUUUAGUUGGAGUGGACGAAUAUCUUCUAAAUCUUAAAAACUUGUUUGCUACAAAUUGUCAAAAUUUGAGGUGUAUCCCACGUCUCAAGUUGGAUUCACUAAAAACACUUGACCUUUCACAUUGUUAUAGCCUCGAGAGUUUUCCAGGUGCGGUGGAUGGGUUGUUGGAAAAUAUUGAAUACUUGAAUAUUGAACGGUGCAUCAUGCUUAAAAGUAUCCCAUCGCUCAGGGUGACUUCGUUGAAAGAGUUCAAUCUUUCACAUUGUCUAAGUCUACAAAGUUUUCCAGAAAUAUUGGGAGAAAUGACAAAUACAACAGAAAUUCACUUGGAUAAUACUCCCAUAAAAGAAUUGCCUUUUCCAUUUCAAAGUCUUAUUCCGCCUCAAACAUUACGCCCAAUGAAAUCUUCACAUGUAGAAUAUCUCAGUCUCUGUGACAGCAAACUUUCAGAUGAAUAUUGGGCAAUAAGUUUCAUGUUGUUUGCUAAUUUGAAAGAAUUACACCUAGCUAAUAAUCAAUUCACAGUUCUUCCUAAAUCCAUGGAAAAAUGUCAUUUUUUACGGAGGCUUGUCUUGGAUGAUUGUGUGGAACUUCAAGAAAUUAAAGGGAUUCCUCCUUGCUUAAAAGUGUUAUCUGCACUAAACUGCCAAUCGUUGACUUUGUCAAGCAAAAGCAAAUUACUGAAUCAGGUUAUGAUAUAUUUAGUUUUUAUUUGUAAUGUAAUUGAUAUUCUUCUUGAUAUUGUUAAACUUACGUUAAUUAUUUAUGACGAACAGAAAUUACAUGAGGCUGGAAACACUUGCUUCCUCUUACCACGAGCAAAGAUUCCAGAGUGGUUCGAUCACCAAUUCUCAGCGGGAUUGUCCAUUUCUUUCUGGUUUCGUAACAAGUUCCCUGCCAUGGUUCUCUGUGUUGUUUCUCCAUUGACAUGGUGUUUUCACAUUACAGUUUUAAGAGUGAUCAUCAACGGUGAUACAUUUUUCUAUACACCUGAUUUGAAUGCAAGGAGACCACGGCCGGAUACAUAUCAUUUGCAUCUUUUUCAUAUGAAAAUGGAAAAUUUCAAGGAUACUAUGGACAAAGCACUUUUAGAAAAUAAGUGGAACCAUGCAGAGGUUGACUUUGGAUUUCCUUUCAUGUAUAGUGGAAUCCAUGUAUUGAAAGACAAAAGUAGCAUCGAGGAUUUUCAAUUGACCAACCCAGAGAUUUAAUUGUACUAAUAUUGAGUUCACUUGGGAUGUUGAAGUUGGAAUUGCGAGGGCAAAAUCAUAAAGUGCGCAUUUAGAGAGGUAGCAGAGAACCUUGGCCGAAAAAACUUUUUAAACCCCAUGAUUUCCGAGAUGCAAAAUAUUCAUGUGCGGAGAUGGAAAAUGAGCUGCAUGAAAGGUUAGCCUUGGUGGAGAAAAGUUAUGAGCUAGAAGAACAGAUCAAAUGCAUUGAAGCUCACACAUUUUCUUUUGAAUCAGAAGAGAACAUAGUUAUCAGAAAAGAGAUAUAUCUUUUAGGAACCUUAAGCUAAGGGAAAAAGCACCUCAUGUGCAUCAUUUGGCAAGCAUAGUGGAAGAAGGGUAUACAGAUCUGAGUGGGGUAAAAGUGGAGAAGGAAUUGUUAUUGAGGAGAUUAUUUAACAUGCAAAAAAUUUAAUGGCUUGCCUAA
Trifolium pratense (red clover) is the source of this 8189-nucleotide RNA transcript. It is a transcript of the gene named disease resistance protein RUN1-like, with no coding region annotated. The record is from RefSeq and is a predicted model, not a curated record. The transcript is spliced from 6 exons. NCBI's taxonomy places the organism in Eukaryota, Viridiplantae, Streptophyta, Magnoliopsida, Fabales, Fabaceae.